GCCGGGGUCGCCUAGCCUGGUCUAGGGCGCCGGACUCAUAAUCCGGUUAUCCCGGGUUCGAAGCCCGGUGCUCGGCA
Molecule: transfer RNA, 77 nt
Filed under: Thermofilum pendens
Lineage: Archaea; Thermoproteati; Thermoproteota; Thermoprotei; Thermofilales; Thermofilaceae
Also listed under: 1 other name
Description: tRNA-Met
Rfam family: tRNA
About the family: Transfer RNA (tRNA) molecules are approximately 80 nucleotides in length.
Source: RNAcentral